RNAcentral lists this ribosomal RNA (253 nucleotides) under uncultured bacterium. RNAcentral describes it as "partial 16S ribosomal RNA". It matches the Rfam family "Bacterial small subunit ribosomal RNA", at positions 524 to 776 of the family's 1533-position model. The record is from RNAcentral.
CACGUAGGAGGCGAGCGUUGUCCGGAAUCAUUGGGCGUAAAGAGCGCGCAGGCGGCUUGGCAAGUCGGGUGUGAAAUCCCGGGGCUCAACCCCGUGACUGCAUUCGAUACUGUCAGGCUAGAGGUAGGUAGGGGAGAUCGGAAUUCCUGGUGUAGCGGUGAAAUGCGCAGAUAUCAGGAGGAACACCGGUGGCGAAGGCGGAUCUCUGGGCCUUACCUGACGCUCAGGCGCGAAAGCUAGGGGAGCGAACGGG